UGGGGAAUAUUGGACAAUGGGCGAAAGCCUGAUCCAGCCAUGCCGCGUGUGUGAAGAAGGUCUUCGGAUUGUAAAGCACUUUAUGUUGGGAGGAAGGGCAGUAAGCGAAUACCUUCCUGUUUUGACGUUACCGACAGAAUAAGCACCGGCUAACUCUGUGCCAGCAGCCGCGGUAAUACAGAGGGUGCAAGCGUUCAUCGGAAUUACUGGGCGUAAAGCGCGCGUAGUCGGUUCGUUAAGUUGGAUGUGAAAGCCCCGGGCUCAACCUGGGAACUGCAUCCAAAACUGGCGAGCUAGAGUAGGGCAGAGGGUGGUGGAAUUUCCUGUGUAGCGGUGAAAUGCGUAGAUAUAGGAAGAAACACCAGUGGCGAAGGCGACCACCUGGGCUCAUACUGACACUGAGGUGCGAAAGCGUGGGGAGCAAACAGG
RNAcentral lists this ribosomal RNA (429 nucleotides) under bacterium. Its description in RNAcentral is "partial 16S ribosomal RNA". It matches the Rfam family "Bacterial small subunit ribosomal RNA", at positions 355 to 776 of the family's 1533-position model. The record is from RNAcentral.